Long non-coding RNA from Esox lucius (northern pike), 3587 nucleotides. The record is from Ensembl. Lineage: Eukaryota; Metazoa; Chordata; Actinopteri; Esociformes; Esocidae.
GUCAGAAAAUAUAUAUUGUGUAUUUCUUUCUGCAAUUGAAAAACACAACAACAGUUUUCUAGUCACAUAGCAGACAGGAAGUCCACACAGCAGACAGGAAGUCACAAGAGGUGACACAAGAGGUCCCAGGGCCCAAAUGGUAGCCACCACAUUUCCUUGAUAGUACACUUCUUUGGAAAGACCCAAGGGGCUUUUUGUGGACCAUAUAGGGAAUAGGAUGCAAUUGGGGCCGCCCACUGGAUUUACAGCACGGACGAACACAGACCCAACGUCAUUUCAAAGAGUAAAACAUUAAAAUGAAUGACGUUUAGGGGAUGACAAAUGUGAACACUGUCCUCCAUUAACAGUAUUUCACCUGGCUUAAGUCAUCCAUGUUGCUCCCCCCUGUGGUCCUCAAGCUACUAGAAAUACAUUAUAUAGUAAUAUAACUUAUGCCCAGUUGCUGCUAGAAACAGUCCCUUCAGAGUUGGGUCAGUUGUAUGUUAAGCUACAACAUUCCGGUUAUUUUCCCAAAAUUCCCUGGCUCUGAAGAAAAUCUAUUCCGAAGACUCAGAGAUUUACUGCAACUCUUUUUCUUUUUAAAUGUAGAAUUUCUGCAAUGUUAACAGAAUUUUGCCACCUGAGGCAUUUCGCACCAGAGUCAAAUUAUAGGACUCCUUUGACUGAUUCAUGGAAACGACCCAAGCCUCUCUCUUCUGUCCCACUCCUUAUGGAACUGUCACGGCAGCAACACAUGGACCAGUCUGGCCCCCAGUCUAUAGUUUGGAAAAUGCUAUACAAUACUGCUACUUACUAAUUAUAAUGUAAUUUUUUGUAAAAACACUCUAGUAUGUAGGUUUGAGUAUGGUAUUUUCACACGCCCAUAGAAAGUACAUAGCAAUGUGUGACACUGAAUAUUUAUUUGGGAAAAAAGGUCACUAGACUGGUCACUCUGCAGUCGAUCAGGACCAUAGCGUCUCUGUCUAAACCAGAGUUCAGUCUCAGGGGUUAUCUGGGCCGGGGAAGCAUCAUGGGCUGCCACUUCAGUCAAAGAUAACAAUUUUGCCAGGACAAUGUAUGUGUUUUAAAGUGACAAAACAAAACUAGCCCACUUUGAGGAGAGAUUUACAGUUGGAUACACAGCAUUUGUGGACAGUCUUUUGUGAUUGUUGUCACGCGUUGGCGGUAGGACAUAAAUCAUUUAUACAUACAUACAAAACGUUUUAGAGACAUGCUGUCAUACUCCUCAGGCACUUGGUCCCCUCUGGGCCUUUUUGAGACUGCUGUGAGACGACGUGACACAAUAAAAAAAUACUAAUAAUGUUAUAUAGACGUGAGUCCAUUCUGAGUGUCCUCAAGUCUGAAGAUUUCAAUUCUUACUGUUAUUGCUUUUCUUCCCACAAGAUGGCGCUAGGUGCCAACAGUGUCCAUUGGCAUUCAGUGUGGCAGUGGCAUCAACAUUUGUCGUUCUGUUUUCCCAUGGCCCUCUUUACAUCCGAUACGACACGGAUGUAGUUAUAUGAAUUGAACCACCUCAGACAGUCAGGCAGACAUUAAGUGUAACAAACCAGCAAUGUCAUGUCAAAAGAAAUCAACCAUACUGUUUCAACUAAAUUCAAAUUUAGGAUUAUUUUCACCUUAUGCGUUUUAAGGAUAAUGACACAAAGACAAAACUGUACCAUGGCCUAAAUUCUCAUUAAAAACACAAAAAUGCUUGAAAUUUUGAUUCACAACACAAAAAGGACUGAAUUGUGAUUCACAACACAAAAAGGCCUAAAUUGUGAUUCACAACACAAAAACGCCUGAAUUGUGAUUCACAACACAAAAACGCCUGAAUUGUGAUUCACAACACAAAAACGCCUGAAUUGUGAUUCACAACACAAAAACGCCUGAAUUGUGAUUCACAACACAAAAACGGCUGAAUUGUGAUUCACAACACAAGGGGCCAAAUGUACCAGUGGAAAGACAUUAGAAGUAAUUAUAGUCCCCAUCUGUCUUACAAACAGUGUAAUCCAUGCGAAGCCUUAUAACAUCACAGUGUUCCUAACGGUGCUAUAACAAUAAACACACAGUUAUAAACACAUUUGCUAUGACACUGUGACAGGCUAAACAAAAAGUUAAAAAAGCAUAUUUAAAUGGAAAACAAAAAUAUAUAUUGAUAAAUAAAUAGUUCUAUACAGCCCCUUCGUGGCUUUGUACUGUGUCGGAGAGGGAUAUCAAAAAGACAAACUAUUACAAACUGUUGAAGUAUAUAAACACAUUUAAAUCUAACACACACACUGACAUGGGACUCCCAAAUGACACCAUAUUCUCUUCAUAGUGUACUAGUUUUUGGGGCGACACAACACUAACUAAGCUACACAGUGGCACGUUCAAAUGCACGUAACGAUCGGCAAACAUUACAAACACAAGGUUGAACAGGAAGAAGUCGGAUCACGAUUGAGAAGCACCAUGAAAUGUGCUUGGAUCAGUACAUACGUAUUCUCUAACAUAGAGUGUGAUUCAGUAAUACAUCUGUGCAUUUUGUUUCUCCGUGCAAAGGGUGUGGAAGAUCACGACAGUCAUCCUCUUCAUCACUCUAUAUUCAUACAGUAACAGCUGAAAUGGAAUAUCACACAUGGAAACGAGGGUCUCGGCUCAGUCCCAAAAGCCACCCUAUUCCCUGAUAGUGCCUUUGCGUGUGGUUGAAAGUAGUGCACUAAAAAUGGAAUAGGGUGGCGUUUGGGACACACUACCUCACUAACGGGUACUUGGGUAUAAUGCUGGAAUAGAGGGCUAGGCUAAGGCCUGGAGUCGGGCUACAAGGCAGUGCAAAAUAUUUAAAUGGUUUUGGUUGGUUAUAAUAUAAAUAUCCCUUAAGUUGCGAUUAAAUACAAUAAAUAUUAAAAAAAUAUAUUCAAAAUGUUAGAUAAAUAAAGGUCAUGGCAUUUUUUUGGUGGUGUAACUCAGUGUCUCUAAGAUACUGGCAGAUAAGUGAAACAGGAGAUCCAUGCCGUUGCAGUUUGAAAGCCUGAUUCACACUAUUGAGCAAAACAGGUUCCUAAAAGGACCACGUGAGAAGAAUACAUCUGAGCCAGGCGGAAUGGACAUUCUGAUUCAGGCCCAUAGUGUGAAUCAGGCCUUAGCAGUAUUCCCAGGAGAAAGUAACUGACUUCACAUUAACUGCUUAACUUUAGCACACCCUAGUGGAAAUUGGAUGCAUGGCAACAGACAGGUUUAAGAUGUUUAGAAAGAACGAAUGGAUUCCACUAUAAGUAAAGCAAGACUGAAGAACUUGUAGUUGAUGGGAUUAAAUAGCAUAUGUCCCAAUUCCUCAUGUGAGCAAAAGAUGGUUAGGAGCAGGGAUGUGGUCUUAGUCCUGCUGAUUUGGGGGUGUGGUCUUAGUCCUGCUGAUUUGGGGGUGUGGUCUUAGUCCUGCUGAUUUAGGGGUGUGGUCUUAGUCCUGCUGAUUUGGGGGUGUGGUCUUAGUCCUGCUGAUUUGGGGGUGUGGUCUUAGUCCUGUUGAUUUGGGGGUGUGCUCUUAGUCCUGCUGAUUUGGGGGUGUGGUCUUAGUCCUGCUGAUUUAGGGGUGUGGUCUUAGUCCUGCUGAUUUGGGGGUGUGGUCUUAG